This 338-nucleotide unclassified non-coding RNA is filed under the name fungal sp. RNAcentral describes it as "partial internal transcribed spacer region". The stretch from base 1 to 46 matches the Rfam family "Eukaryotic small subunit ribosomal RNA", at positions 1786 to 1831 of the family's 1831-position model. The record is from RNAcentral. Lineage: Eukaryota; Fungi.
AAGUCGUAACAAGGUUUCCGUAGGUGAACCUGCGGAAGGAUCAUUAACACGUAUCCAACGUUAAACCCCCCGUGAACCUUCAUUGUGCUCCCCCAUUCCGUUAGGACGCGGCAAUCCCUGGUAAAUCAUCGCCGAACAGUUUUGAUUCAGGGACCUCUGCAUGGAGUGGGCAGCAGCGCGAGGCAAGUGGCCUGGCAUUCGAAAGAAUGGCGCAGUAACGAUCGCUAGAGGCCGACACGGCCGGCGACCGGGUCACUGGGCUCACGCCCCCCUAUCACCUUUGCAUGAAAACGGGCACCAAACUCGAACAACUGUUAACAAUGGAUAUCUUGGUUCUC